This is a non-coding RNA of Potamilus streckersoni, 71 nucleotides long. The record is from the annotation of a GenBank genome assembly. Lineage: Eukaryota; Metazoa; Mollusca; Bivalvia; Unionida; Unionidae.
GAUCAUGGCCUAGUAGUUAGAGCUUCCGCUUCGAAGGCGGGAGGUCGUGGGUUCGAACCCAGGCAGAGUCA